AAGCAAACGAUGGCAUCUGUUUUCUCGGUCGUAUAGAGCCACAACUCUUUACUCCCGCUGACCACCCCGAGUGCGGUGCAGCGUCAGAAAAGCAUGACACCUUCAAAACGUCACGCCAUGUGACGCGUUCACACUUUGAAGCUGCAGCUGUGCCGGAAGGCGGCAUGAAUACAAGAUUCACGACGACACGCGGAUGUCGCAGUUGGUCCCGAGCCGCGGAUAUAAGCUGGUGACGCCGGACGACGCGAGAACGUCGCGAUCCACAAUGAAGGCAGCCACCAGUAUCCUUCUCGGUCUCGUGGUUCUUGCAGCGCUGGCCUACUGCCACGCCGAAGAAAGGGCUGACCAUGAAGAGCACGGGUACCUGGCCAGGAAACGCGGAGACGAUGACGACCAAGACGCCAAGAGUCGUAAAAUUGCUGGUGAAAAAUCCGGCAGCAAGACGGGCGGGAAAGUUAGGGCGAAAGAUAAGCAAAAGUACAAGAAAGCAAACGAAGGCAGCGAAGAAGAAUAAAUGUAUCCGGCAGCUGGGCAACUGCAAUAUUAUGACCCUUUGGCAAAAUCUGUAGCCAGCAAAAAUUAAACAAAAACAGCAGCGCA
Molecule: non-coding RNA, 600 nt
Organism: Dermacentor albipictus
Lineage: Eukaryota; Metazoa; Arthropoda; Arachnida; Ixodida; Ixodidae
Source: RefSeq, a predicted model, not a curated record